This 300-nucleotide unclassified non-coding RNA is filed under the name Lecanoromycetes sp. Its description in RNAcentral is "partial contains small subunit ribosomal RNA and internal transcribed spacer 1". Lineage: Eukaryota; Fungi; Ascomycota; Lecanoromycetes. The record is from RNAcentral.
AAGUCGUAACAAGGUUUCCUUCACCUAUUGAAGCCUUCAGCAGCGACUGUAAAAAAAAUGCGUAGUUUGCUUGCAAGCAAUGCCACUCAAAUGCUGAGACAUAUGAAUCAGCAGCCUUCUAGGCUCACAGAUCAAAUUGUGGUAACCAUUUUCAUGGGCAAGAUAUGACCGGUCUUAACUAGAGUUAGUUAAGAAUCCACGUUCCGUAGGUGAACCUGCGGAAGGAUCAUUAUCGUACAACUGAGGUGCAAGGGCUGUCGCUGACCUUCAAGGGUCGUGCACGCCCAAGCUCUCUCACAC